Molecule: ribosomal RNA, 852 nt
Filed under: uncultured euryarchaeote
Lineage: Archaea; Methanobacteriati; Methanobacteriota
Description: bacterial SSU rRNA
Rfam family: Archaeal small subunit ribosomal RNA
Source: RNAcentral
AGAGGCCGCUGCUAUCCGGCUGGGACUAAGCCAUGCUAGUCAAGGGGCUUGUACCCUUCGGGGUGCAAGCACCGGCGGACGGCUCAGUAACACGUGGACAACCUGCCCUCGGGAGGGGGAUAACCCUGGGAAACUGGGGCUAAUCCCCCAUAGGAGAUGGGUACUGGAAUGUCCCAUCUCCGAAAGCGCUUAGCGCCCGAGGAUGGGUCUGCGGCGGAUUAGGUAGUUGGCGGGGUAACGGCCCGCCAAGCCGAAGACCCGUACGGGCUGUGGGAGCAGGAGCCCGGAGAUGGACCCUGAGACAAGGGUCCAGGCCCUACGGGGCGCAGCAGGCGCGAAACCUCCGCAAUGCGGGAAACCGCGACGGGGUUAGCCGGAGUGUCCGUGCAUCGCACGGACUGUCGGGGAGCCUAAACAGCUCCCCAUAGCAAGGGCCGGGCAAGGCCGGUGGCAGCCGCCGCGGUAAUACCGGCGGCCCGAGUGGCGGCCACUCUUAUUGGGCCUAAAGCGUCCGUAGCCGGUCUGGUAAGUCCCCCGGGAAAUCUGGCGGCUUAACCGUCAGACUGCCGGGGGAUACUGCCAGACUAGGGACCGGGAGAGGCCGAGGGUAUUCCCGGGGUAGGGGUGAAAUCCUGUAAUCCCGGGAGGACCACCUGUGGCGAAGGCGCUCGGCUGGAACGGGUCCGACGGUGAGGGACGAAGGCCUGGGGAGCGAACCGGAUUAGAUACCCGGGUAGUCCAGGCUGUAAACGAUGCGGACUANGUGUCACCGGANCUACGAGCUCCGGUGGUGCCGGAGGGAANCCGUUAANUCCGCCGCCAGGGAAGUACGGCCGCAAGGCUGAANCUUAA